GUCUGUCCUGCCCACUGAAGUAAAAUUUAAAGGGCCGCGGUAUUCUGACUGUGCGAAGGUAGCAUAAUCAUUAGUUUUUUAAUUGAAGGCUUGUAUGAAUGGUUUGACAAGAAUUAAUCUGUCUUUUUUAAAAUGAACAAAUUUUAUUUUUGAGUGAGAAAGCUCAAAUAAGUUAGAGGGACGAUAAGACCCUAUAAAUCUUUAUGAUAUCCACUAAAAUUAAAAAAAUAUUUAGUAAAAAUUUUUUUUUUAGUGGGAUCAUUGCGCUGGGGCGGUGUUAAUAUAAAAUAAACUGUUAAAAUGUUUUACAAUAUGUUUGAACGGAAAAGAUCUUAGUUAAAAAUUUAGAGUUUAAGUUACUUUAGGGAUAACAGCAUAAUUUCUUUUGAGAGUUCUAAUCGAAAAAGAAGAUUGUGACCUCGAUGUUGAAUUAAAAUCUCUUUAUAAUGUAGCAGUUAUAGAAGAAAGUCUGUUCGACUUUUAAUUUUUUACAUGAUUUG
This 500-nucleotide ribosomal RNA is filed under the name Enosteoides ornatus. Its description in RNAcentral is "partial large subunit ribosomal RNA". It matches the Rfam family "Bacterial large subunit ribosomal RNA", at positions 1850 to 2607 of the family's 2925-position model. The record is from RNAcentral. Lineage: Eukaryota; Metazoa; Arthropoda; Malacostraca; Decapoda; Porcellanidae.